This is a long non-coding RNA of Wyeomyia smithii (pitcher-plant mosquito), 891 nucleotides long. RefSeq lists it as uncharacterized. Lineage: Eukaryota; Metazoa; Arthropoda; Insecta; Diptera; Culicidae. The transcript has 3 exons. The record is from RefSeq and is a predicted model, not a curated record.
AGAUCUUCUAGGAUGAGGUCUGAAAAGUUGUGCCUCCGACCAGAUCCUGACUCCCGACCAGUACAGCAGUAGCAUCGGCUCGUGUGAUCCACACACGUCGAACACACAGUUGAUGGGUAGAUCCACUUGCAGGCAGCAGGGCACCUGCCACCGUCUGGUUUUUUUAUCCCUUCAAGCGGAAACCUUCCCCGUCGAUAAGAAAAGCCUUCAAACGGCGUCUUUUGUGGUGCAGUCUAGUGCAGUGACAGUUGGUGAUAAGACACACAGUGACAGCCGCGCAGGGCGAUAGAUGCUGCACUUGCAGUGAGUUCAAAGGGCGGUGAAAAUUGAUGUGCUUUUCCCAAGGGCAAACGAUGAACGCGAACAGACUCUGAUUUCCAGUUCGAACCUAGAGGUAGUGAUAUUAUGGCGCAUCGUAAGAACGUUAAAUCUACAUUUAUUGGAUAUCAGGACGUGGGUAGCAGCUAACAAAUGCUGGAUUGGCAUUCGAGGCACGUCCCCCUAUUCCAAAGUGCAGCACCGUAUAUACCAAACCAUAAUCAACAGGAGAAGACGGUUAUUUUUACCAGAUUUCCGAAGCACGUACAGCAGUAACCUGCUAGUCAGACUGGAAACGUGUUCCAGCGGCGGGUCCGGUCGGGUCCAUGAAAUAAUCAAACUAGCACAUUGGAGCAGCGGAAGCAGCCAUUGAAAAUGAAAGUGCUGUGCGGCAAGUUCCACUCCACGAAGGAAUCAACAGGUGUCAAUACAUAGUGUACAAACGGAAUAAUUUAUUAAUGGUAAUUUAAAAGCGUUGAUAACUAAUGCUAUUCAGUAGGAGAAAAAAUGGAAAAGGUUCACAGAAAAAGGUGAGAGAUUACAGCAGCCGACAAACGACAAACCCCAACUCAC